CCUACGGGCGGCUGCAGUGAGGAAUAUUGGUCAAUGGGCGAGAGCCUGAACCAGCCAAGUCGCGUGAAGGAUGAAGGAUCUAUGGUUUGUAAACUUCUUUUAUAUGGGAAUAAAGUGAGGAACGUGUUCCUUUUUGUAUGUACCAUAUGAAUAAGCAUCGGCUAACUCCGUGCCAGCAGCCGCGGUAAUACGGAGGAUGCGAGCGUUAUCCGGAUUUAUUGGGUUUAAAGGGUGCGUAGGUGGUUAAUUAAGUCAGCGGUGAAAGUUUGUGGCUCAACCAUAAAAUUGCAGUUGAAACUGGUUGACUUGAGUAUAUUUGAGGUAGGCGGAAUGCGUGGUGUAGCGGUGAAAUGCAUAGAUAUCACGCAGAACUCCGAUUGCGAAGGCAGCUUACUAAACUAUAACUGACACUGAAGCACGAAAGUGUGGGUAUCAAACAGGAUUAGAUACCCCAGUAGUC
Molecule: ribosomal RNA, 460 nt
Filed under: uncultured bacterium
Lineage: Bacteria
Description: partial 16S ribosomal RNA
Rfam family: Bacterial small subunit ribosomal RNA
Source: RNAcentral